UGACAAACAGUGUCAGGAUCGUCGUGGUGUCCAGUCUGGCCAGUGUCACUCUUUGACUGGCUCCUGGCACAUAUUUACUGUAUGAGCAGUAGACCUGUGCGAUGGAAAUGCGUGUGUGUGUGUGUGUGUGUGUGUGUGUGUGUGUGUGUGUGUGUGUGUGUGUGUGUGUGUGUCAUAAACUUGGAGGAUCACGAGCAGUGUGUUGGAUGCCCUGUUUUUGCUGAGCCAAAAUCAGUCCAGGUCUCCAGUGUUCAGGCCGGUGUCAGUCGUCUCUGUCCCGGGGUCAGAGGUCGUGUCCAGUGUUCAGGCCGGUGUCAGUCGUCUCUGUCCUGAGGUCAGAUGUCGUCUCCAGGCCGGUGUCAGUCGUCUCUGUCCCGGGGUCAGAUGUCGUCUCCAGGCCGGUGUCAGUCGUCUCUGUCCCGGGGUCAGAGGUCGUCUCCAGGCCGGUGUCAGUCGACUCUGUCCCGGGGUCAGAGGUGGUGUCCAGUCUGGCGGGCCGGCCGGUGUCAGUCUCUGACAGGCUCCUGGCAUAUGCGUGAGUGUGUGGCGUGUCUCUGCGCUCCCCUGCUGGCCUGUGGCCACCCCCCCGGCACAAGAGCCAUUGUUAGAGGGAGCACACCAGCUGCUGGGACUCACGGCCAUGGGGUUGUUCUCCCUCUGUCUUUCUUUCACUCUCUCUCUUUCUCUCUCUCCCUCUCUCCCUCUCCCUCUCCC
This is a long non-coding RNA of Clupea harengus (Atlantic herring), 714 nucleotides long. Lineage: Eukaryota; Metazoa; Chordata; Actinopteri; Clupeiformes; Clupeidae. The record is from Ensembl.